RNAcentral lists this ribosomal RNA (491 nucleotides) under uncultured bacterium. RNAcentral's name for it is "partial 16S ribosomal RNA". It matches the Rfam family "Bacterial small subunit ribosomal RNA", at positions 29 to 506 of the family's 1533-position model. The record is from RNAcentral.
AGUGAACGCUGGCGGUAGGCCUAACACAUGCCAGUCGAACGGCAGCACAGUAAGAGCUUGCUCUUACGGGUGGCGAGUGGCGGACGGGUGAGGAAUACAUCGGAAUCUACUUUUUCGUGGGGGAUAACGUAGGGAAACUUACGCUAAUACCGCAUACGACCUACGGGUGAAAGCAGGGGAUCUUCGGACCUUGCGCGAUUGAAUGAGCCGAUGUCGGAUUAGCUAGUUGGCGGGGUAAAGGCCCACCAAGGCGACGAUCCGUAGCUGGUCUGAGAGGAUGAACAGCCACACUGGAACGGAGACACGGUCCAAACCCCCACGGGAGGGAGAAGUGGGGAAAUUUGGAAAAGGGGCGAAAGCCUGAUCCAGCCAUACCGGGGGGGUGAAGAAGGCCUUCGGGUUGUAAAGCCCUUUUGUUGGGAAAAAAAAGCAGCAGGUUAAUACCCCGCUGUUCUGACGGUACCCAAAGAAUAAGCACCGGCUAACUUCGU